Non-coding RNA from Streptomyces violaceusniger Tu 4113, 119 nucleotides. The record is from Rfam. Lineage: Bacteria; Bacillati; Actinomycetota; Actinomycetes; Kitasatosporales; Streptomycetaceae.
GGUCACGAGUGACAGCGACUACGGCCCCGGCCCGCUGUCCGGCAACCCUCCGUCCGUGGCGGGGUGCCCCGGGUGAUGACCAGGCCGCCAGGCAGCGAGGCCGGCGGCAAGCGCGGACC